UGGUGUGGGCCAUCUCCAAGGAGACAGCCAGGCUUAGUCCAGAGGGCAUCCCCUACUGUGCCACCAAAGUGCAGUCCAUCACUUGGAUCCAGCGUGUGGCUGGCAGGGUGACCCACUAUGCGUCUCACCUCCGCCACGAGACGUCUGUGGACGUGACGCUUGGCUGCUACCAGCAGACUGAUGUCUCAGUGGUGUACGCCACUCUCCACAUGGGGCUGGACG
Salvelinus namaycush (lake trout) is the source of this 222-nucleotide long non-coding RNA. RefSeq lists it as uncharacterized. NCBI's taxonomy places the organism in Eukaryota, Metazoa, Chordata, Actinopteri, Salmoniformes, Salmonidae. The record is from RefSeq and is a predicted model, not a curated record. The transcript is spliced from 3 exons.